AUGGUUCAUACCCUUCGAUACUACUCACAGAUUCAUCAAAACAAGCAAACAACACAUUGGGAUUUCUCCCCGGGCCUUGCGGUCGCGGCUCAGGUGCGUCAAUGAUUCAGCUCUACGGUUCACUUCUCUCCCUCUGGUGCUUGCAAGGAGUUCUUUUUGGUGGUUAGCUUCUCUUCGGCCUCCUUUCCUCUCAAUGAAGAAUCUGUUGCUUUGGCUUUGCAAUGUUCUAUUGGA
Molecule: ribosomal RNA, 234 nt
Filed under: Triticum aestivum (bread wheat)
Lineage: Eukaryota; Viridiplantae; Streptophyta; Magnoliopsida; Poales; Poaceae
Description: partial small subunit ribosomal RNA
Source: RNAcentral